UGGGGUAUGGCUCAGUGGCAGAGCAUGUGCUUAGCAUGUACAAGGCCCUGGGUUCAAUCCCCAGCACCCAAA
Molecule: transfer RNA, 72 nt
Filed under: Marmota marmota marmota (Alpine marmot)
Lineage: Eukaryota; Metazoa; Chordata; Mammalia; Rodentia; Sciuridae
Also listed under: 1 other name
Rfam family: tRNA
About the family: Transfer RNA (tRNA) molecules are approximately 80 nucleotides in length. Their secondary structure includes four short double-helical elements and three loops (D, anti-codon, and T loops).
Source: Rfam by way of RNAcentral